UAGGGAAUCUUCCGCAAUGGACGCAAGUCUGACGGAGCAACGCCGCGUGAGUGAAGAAGGAUUUCGGUUCGUAAAACUCUGUUGUUAGAGAAGAACAGCGCAUAGAGUAACUGUUAUGCGUGUGACGGUAUCUAACCAGAAAGCCACGGCUAACUACGUGCCAGCAGACGCGGUAAUACGUAGGUGGCAAGCGUUGUCCGGAUUUAUUGGGCGUAAAGCGAGCGCAGGCGGUCAAUUAAGUCUGAUGUGAAAGCCCCCGGCUCAACCGGGGAGGGUCAUUGGAAACUGGUUGACUUGAGUGCAGAAGAGGAGAGUGGAAUUCCAUGUGUAGCGGUGAAAUGCGUAGAUAUAUGGAGGAACACCAGUGGCGAAGGCGACUCUCUGGUCUGUAACUGACGCUGAGGCUCGAAAGCGUGGGUAGCAAACAGG
Molecule: ribosomal RNA, 429 nt
Filed under: Bacteroidota bacterium
Lineage: Bacteria; Pseudomonadati; Bacteroidota
Description: Bacteroidetes bacterium partial 16S ribosomal RNA
Rfam family: Bacterial small subunit ribosomal RNA
Source: RNAcentral